Suricata suricatta (meerkat) is the source of this 845-nucleotide long non-coding RNA. RefSeq lists it as uncharacterized. The record is from RefSeq and is a predicted model, not a curated record. Lineage: Eukaryota; Metazoa; Chordata; Mammalia; Carnivora; Herpestidae. The transcript is spliced from 3 exons.
GCGCGCCCACUUUCUCUCUCUCUCUCUCUCUCUCAAAAAUAAAUAAGCAUUAAAAAUUUUUUUAAAAAGGGCAGGGGGACCGUGGCCGCAGACCCCUGCUGCACUGGCACCCCGCUGCUGGGCUCUAGAGGCCGACUGACAGCGAGGCUCCCGUGCCCCUGUGCCCCAGGAGGGGUCGGUGUCUGCGCCCCCACACAGGCCGCCCAGAGCCUUGCUGGGCUUCCCUCACCAGGGCCAGGCCGAUGUGGGGCAGCCAGAGGAGCGUCCUGCCUUCAGACCUCGGGGCUCCCGCCGGCCGCGUUAAACGCGCCGCACGCACGCACGCACGCCCCGACGGCGCCUCGGGCUCCUGGCUCUGAGCCUGGGCCCCGUGCGUCCUCCUGUGAGGUCUCCCUGCGUGAGCCUCUGGGGGGCUCGAGGGAGCCUCUUGCAGGUCUAUGUUUUCGGUUCAGACACCUGCUUGGAGCCCUGAUGGGGAUGUGGGGCAGGCUGGGUGGCCUCUGUGGCCCCCAGGAUGUGGACCCGAGUCCAGGCGCCCCGGAACCCACCCCCUCACCUCCGAGUGGUGCUGCGUGCGCCCCCUCCUACACACAGACCCCUGUCUGUCCCGCCCUGACCCCCCUCAGCUCCCCUCCCCCAAGUCCUCCCAAGAGCCCAAGGAUGGGGCGAUUGAUGCUCAUCCCCGUUUUACAGGUGUGAGGAGGAAGGGAACAGACACGCACAAGGUGCAGGGCUCAAGAAGGCUUUGUGGUUUGCCCCCUCGGGUGGAUCCUGGCUGCAGGAUGGUGCAGAGACCCCACAAGAGAGAGAGAGAGGAGCGUGAGCAGAUGAGGCAGAGAGAGGAG